Molecule: unclassified non-coding RNA, 378 nt
Filed under: uncultured Gammaproteobacteria bacterium
Lineage: Bacteria; Pseudomonadati; Pseudomonadota; Gammaproteobacteria
Description: contains 16S-23S intergenic spacer region
Source: RNAcentral
UCCGGUUCAUCACCAGCAGUCUCUUUAGAGUCCCCGCCAUUACGCGUUGGCAACUAAAGAUAGGGGUUGCGCUCGUUACGGGACUUAACCCAACAUCUCACAACACGAGCUGACGACAGCCAUGCAGCACCUGUGUUCAGGUUCCUUUCGGCACUUCCGCAUCUCUGCAGAAUUCCUGACAUGUCAAGGGUAGGUAAGGUUCUUCGCGUUGCAUCGAAUUAAACCACAUGCUCCACCGCUUGUGCGGGCCCCCGUCAAUUCCUUUGAGUUUUAAUCUUGCGACCGUACUCCCCAGGCGGAAAACUUAUCGCGUUAGCUUCGAUACUAAUAGGUCAAGCCUACCAACAUCUAGUUUUCAUCGUUUACAGCGUGGACUAC